Molecule: transfer RNA, 88 nt
Filed under: Opitutia bacterium
Lineage: Bacteria; Pseudomonadati; Verrucomicrobiota; Opitutia
Also listed under: 2 other names
Description: tRNA-Ser
Rfam family: tRNA
About the family: Transfer RNA (tRNA) molecules are approximately 80 nucleotides in length. Their secondary structure includes four short double-helical elements and three loops (D, anti-codon, and T loops). Further hydrogen bonds mediate the characteristic L-shaped molecular structure. tRNAs have two regions of fundamental functional importance: the anti-codon, which is responsible for specific mRNA codon recognition, and the 3' end, to which the tRNAs corresponding amino acid is attached (by aminoacyl-tRNA synthetases). tRNAs cope with the degeneracy of the genetic code in two manners: having more than one tRNA (with a specific anti-codon) for a particular amino acid; and 'wobble' base-pairing, i.e. permitting non-standard base-pairing at the 3rd anti-codon position.
Source: RNAcentral
GGAGAGAUGGCAGAGUGGUCGAUUGCGGCGGUCUUGAAAACCGUUGAGGCGCAAGCCUCCGGGGGUUCGAAUCCCUCUCUCUCCGCCA